GAGUAUGAUGAAGAAAGAAUUAAAAUCCAAGGAGGAACAGAAGAAAAGUAUGUAGAAAAUGUGAUUUCCCCAAGGCUCGUGACAUUGUCUUGUAAGGGAAGAUGGGUCUGACUGCCAGUAGCAGCCUUAAACAAAAUAAUCAAAAAAGUGAGCCCCCGCACAUAAGCUCGAGACUAUCAGAUACCUGUCACGAUAAAUACAUUACCUUCAAUUCUUACAACAGUAUGGCAAAUUAAAGUCCACUUGUACAGAUGAGGAAACACAGAAUAAAUGACUGGUACAAGGUCAGAGGUAACACCCUCUCUACCUCACAAAGCUGUUGAAAGAAUUAAAUGAACUAAUUCAGUGCUUCUAAAACUUCAGUGUGUGCUUUAAGACUUAAAUAUAAGACAAGACACCAUCAAACUCCUAGAAGAGAACACUAGCAAAACAUUCUCUGACAUCAACCUUACAAAUGUUUUCUCAGGUCAGUCUCCCAAGGCAACAGAAAUAAAAACAAAAAUAAACCAAUGGGACCUAAUCAAACUGAGAAGCUUUUGCACAGCAAAGGAAAACAUAAAAAAAAAAGAAAAAAAAAAAGACAACUUACAGAAUGGGAGAAAAUAGUUUCAAACGAUGCAACUGACAAGGGCUUAAUCGCUAAAAUAUGCAAACAACUUAUGCAACUCAACAGCAAAAAAGCCAACAACCCAAUGUAAAAAUGGGCAAAAGACCUGAAUAAACAUUUCUCCAAAGAAGAUAUACAGAUGGCCAACAAGCAUAUGAAAAAAUGCUCAACAUCACUGACUAUUAGAGAAAUCCAAACCAAAACUACCAUGAGGUACCACCUCAGACCAGUCAGAAUGGCCAUCAUUAAUAAGUCCACAAAUAACAAAUGCUGGAGAGGGUGUGGAGAAAAGAGAAGCCUCCUGCACUUUUGGUAGGAAUGUAAGCUGGUACAAUCACUAUGGAAAACAAUAUGGAGGUACCUUAGGAAUCUAUACAUAGAACUACCAUAUGACGCAGCAAUCCCACUCUUGGGCAUAUAUCCAGACAAAACUUUCCUUGAAAAGGACACAUGCACCCCCAUGUUCAUUGCAGCUCUAUUCAAUAGCCAAGACAUAGAAACAACCUAAAAGUGUCCAUCAACAGAUGAAUGGAUUCAGAAGAUGUGGUAUAUAUACACAAUGGAAUACUACUCAGCCAUAAAAAAGAACAAAAUAAUGCCAUUUGCAGCAACAUGGAUGGAACUAGAGACUCUCAUACUGAGUGAAGUAAGUCAGAAAGAGAAAGACAAAUGCCAUAUUAUAUCACUUAUAUCUGGAAUCUAAUAUACAGCACAAAUGAACCUUUCCACAGAAAACAAAAUCAUGGACUUGGAGAACAGACUUGUGGUUGCCAAGGGGGAGGGGAGGGAGUGGAAUGGAUUGGGAAAUUGGGGUUAAUAGAUGCAGACUUUUGCCUUUUGAAUGGAUUAGCAAUAAGAUCCUGCUGUGUAGCACUGGGAACUAUAUAUUGUCACUUACAAUGGAGCAAGAUACUAUGAAAAAAAGGAAUGUAUACGUGUAUGUAUUGACUGGGUCACCUUGCUGUUCAGUAGAAAAUUGACAGAACACUGUAAACCAGUUACAAUGGAAAAAAAUAAAAAUC
This 1629-nucleotide long non-coding RNA is filed under the name Sus scrofa (pig). RNAcentral describes it as "lncRNA (ENSSSCG00055012113.1)". Lineage: Eukaryota; Metazoa; Chordata; Mammalia; Artiodactyla; Suidae. The record is from RNAcentral.